This 344-nucleotide RNase P RNA is filed under the name human gut metagenome. RNAcentral's name for it is "Bacterial RNase P class A". It matches the Rfam family "Bacterial RNase P class A". Rfam says of the family: Ribonuclease P (RNase P) is a ubiquitous endoribonuclease, found in archaea, bacteria and eukarya as well as chloroplasts and mitochondria. Its best characterised activity is the generation of mature 5'-ends of tRNAs by cleaving the 5'-leader elements of precursor-tRNAs. The record is from RNAcentral.
AUAGUCGCGUAUAGCAAUUUCGAAAGAAAGCGUACGAGGAAAGUCCGGGCUCCACAGAGCAAUAAUGCUGGAUAACGUCCAGUGAGGGAGACCUUAAGGAAAGUGCAACAGAAAAUAACCGCCAUAUAAUGGGGUUUUCCAUUUAUGGUAAGGAUGAAAAGGCGAGGUAAGAGCUCACCGCUGGUAUGGUGACAUACUGGGUCAGUGUAAACCCCAUUUGGAGCAACACCCUAAUAGAAGGCUAAGACUGCUCGUCAUCUUCUAAAUGAGGUGGCUUGAGACAUAUAGCAAUAUAUGUACUAGAUAAAUGACUAUUCAAGACAGAACCCGGCUUACAGAUUUAC